Molecule: ribosomal RNA, 514 nt
Filed under: Pichia terricola
Lineage: Eukaryota; Fungi; Ascomycota; Pichiomycetes; Pichiales; Pichiaceae
Description: eukaryotic LSU rRNA
Rfam family: 5.8S ribosomal RNA (bases 137-289)
Source: RNAcentral
CCUUCCGUAAGGGAACCUGCGGAAGGGUUAUUAUUGGGAUUUAGUACUAAACUGCGUGAGCGGAACGAAAACANCAACACCUANNAUGUGGAAUAUAGCAUAUAGUCGACAAGAGAAAUCUACGAAAAACAAACAAAACUUUCAACAACGGAUCUCUUGGUUCUCGCAUCGAUGAAGAGCGCAGCGAAAUGCGAUACCUAGUGUGAAUUGCAGCCAUCGUGAAUCAUCGAGUUCUUGAACGCACAUUGCGCCCCUCGGCAUUCCGGGGGGCAUGCCUGUUUGAGCGUCGUUUCCAUCUUGCGCGUGCGCAGAGUUGGGGGAGCGGAGCGGACGACGUGUAAAGAGCGUCGGAGCUGCGACUCGCCUGAAAGGGAGCGAAGCUGGCCGAGCGAACUAGACUUUUUUUCAGGGACGCUUGGCGGCCGAGAGCGAGUGUUGCGAGACAACAAAAAGCUCGACCUCAAAUCAGGUAGGAAUACCCGCUGAACUUAAGCAUAUCAAUAAGCGGANGAAA